This 534-nucleotide ribosomal RNA is filed under the name uncultured bacterium. Its description in RNAcentral is "partial 16S ribosomal RNA". It matches the Rfam family "Bacterial small subunit ribosomal RNA", at positions 355 to 874 of the family's 1533-position model. The record is from RNAcentral.
UGGGGAAUAUUGCACAAUGGGCGCAAGCCUGAUGCAGCCAUGCCGCGUGUGUGAAGAAGGCCUUCGGGUUGUAAAGCACUUUCAGCGAGGAGGAAGGUGGUGAGCUUAAUACGCUCAUCAAUUGACGUUACUCGCAGAAGAAGCACCGGCUAACUCCGUGCCAGCAGCCGCGGUAAUACGGAGGGUGCAAGCGUUAAUCGGAAUUACUGGGCGUAAAGCGCACGCAGGCGGUUUGUUAAGUCAGAUGUGAAAUCCCCGGGCUCAACCUGGGAACUGCAUUUGAAAACUGGCAAGCUAGAGUCUCGUAGAGGGGGGUAGAAUUCCAGGUGUAGCGGUGAAAUGCGUAGAGAUCUGGAGGAAUACCGGUGGCGAAGGCGGCCCCCUGGACGAAGACUGACGCUCAGGUGCGAAAAGCGUGGGGAGCAAAACAGGAUUAGAUACCCCUGGUAGUCCAGCGCUGUAAAACGAUGUCGAUUUUGGAGGUUGUGCCCUUGAGGCGUGGCUUCCGGAGCUAACGCGUUAAAUCGACCGCCU